This 119-nucleotide unclassified non-coding RNA is filed under the name Escherichia fergusonii ATCC 35469. RNAcentral describes it as "CrpTic". The record is from RNAcentral. Lineage: Bacteria; Pseudomonadati; Pseudomonadota; Gammaproteobacteria; Enterobacterales; Enterobacteriaceae.
UGACUGUUUUAGCAUAGCUUUCGCCGUGUGUCUCCUGGUGUCUCGCUUCAGCUUGACUCAGGUCGCCUUCUGUUGCGCGAUUUGGUCAGUACGCGUACGCUGUGAAUAAAUUUGAUGCA